CAUCGCCUCUUGAUUGUCAUAAGAGGUCCAGCCUGCCCAGUGACCAGUUUAACGGCCGCGGUACCCUAACCGUGCGAAGGUAGCAUAAUCACUUGUUUCUUAAAUAGAGACUAGUAUCAACGGCAUCACGAAGACUACACUGUCUCCCCCCUAAAAUCAAUGAAACUAAUCCCCUCGUGAAGAAGCGAGAAUACAAACAUAAGACGAGAAGACCCCAUGGAGCUUUAAACGAACCCCAACUGCUCCCCCCACUAACCAUAGAAACUGAGCAUUAAUGGUGGAUAGUUUUCGGUUGGGGUGACCGCGGAGUAAAACAAAACCUCCACAAUGAACGUAAUAAAACACUAAUAUAAGAACCACAAUUCUAAUAAUCAAAACCUGACAUAAUUUGACCCAAACACUUGAUCAAUGAACCAAGUUACCCUGGGGAUAACAGCGCAAUCCAUCUUAAGAGCCCCUAUCGACAAAUGGGUUUACGACCUCGAUGUUGGAUCAGGGUAUCCUAGUGGUGCAGCCGCUACUAACGGUUCGUUUGUUCAACGAUUAAAACCCU
RNAcentral lists this ribosomal RNA (553 nucleotides) under Mesobatrachia sp. A11. RNAcentral's name for it is "partial 16S ribosomal RNA". It matches the Rfam family "Bacterial large subunit ribosomal RNA", at positions 1814 to 2597 of the family's 2925-position model. The record is from RNAcentral. Lineage: Eukaryota; Metazoa; Chordata; Amphibia; Anura.